Molecule: signal recognition particle RNA, 97 nt
Filed under: Paracoccus denitrificans
Lineage: Bacteria; Pseudomonadati; Pseudomonadota; Alphaproteobacteria; Rhodobacterales; Paracoccaceae
Also listed under: 6 other names
Description: signal recognition particle sRNA small type
Rfam family: Bacterial small signal recognition particle RNA
About the family: The signal recognition particle (SRP) is a universally conserved ribonucleoprotein involved in the co-translational targeting of proteins to membranes. Archaeal SRP consists of a 7S RNA and homologues of the eukaryotic SRP19 and SRP54 proteins.
Source: RNAcentral
GAGAGGUUGGCGCGGGCAGGCGCCUCGCCAACCCGGUCAGGUCCGGAAGGAAGCAGCCGUAACGAGUCCCGCUUGGGUCGCUGUCCAGCCUCUCACC